Molecule: long non-coding RNA, 6078 nt
Organism: Macrobrachium nipponense
Lineage: Eukaryota; Metazoa; Arthropoda; Malacostraca; Decapoda; Palaemonidae
Exons: 3
Source: RefSeq, a predicted model, not a curated record
UACACAUCUCUCACCCAUGUGGAAUGCCCGAGAAUCGGACUCGCACUACCCCCUACGGAGAGUAUAGAAUUGGAAAGUUUAUAUUCGGUGUGGAGGUGUCGUCGUAACAUUCUGUCUCGCGGUCUGGACCCAGCUCGUGGCACACGGCAUGAAACUAUUAUAACAGCACGUUUUGUUCGUAAAUGUUUGGUUUAGAUCUCCUGCCUUCAUACACAGGGAGCCAGAGUCGCUGCAUUAUUAGACUACUGCGUCGUUGGAUCAGAAAUUUUGCCGGAAGCUCGACAGACUAAUUAAGGCUGAUGCAUUAUUAUCACAUAAAAAAAUGACUGCCAUUAAAAAAAGGAUGCCAGUUCAUUACGCUGCAUUUUACUAAUAAACACUUUUACUCUUAGGCUAAUUAUUUCUAUUCUAUCAAUAUUCAUCACGUGCUGGGAGUAUUUAUAAAUUUUGAACCGUUAUGAGUCAGAACAUUAUACAAGGUAGCGCUCUCCUUCAUUCUAUUGUUAGUGGUGUGAAGACUUCAUUGCUCAGCGUGACGUGUCUCGGAAGAAGAAGAAGAAGCUACCUUUCCAGCGUCGUUGGGGAUAGAAGCCGCCGGGUAAAGAGCACUGAAAGAGGCGAGUGUUGCGGUCGAGCCUUCUGGUUUCAACAACAUUUACUUGAUUCACCAGCUGGAGGAGAAUGUCUGCCUAAGGGCAUGGUGACGCAAGCUGAGAGCCAUCAGCCCCCAUAUUUGAAGCCCAGGGCAUAUGGUUAACCUGGGAAGACCUCGUGGCAGUGAUGCACCAGAGGACAGGUAACCCCCUCUACCGGGAUGCUUGCACACCAUCUCCGAAGUCAUUAAAGGCCAGAGCACCAGACAAACAAGCUUAAAACCUUUCAAGCACCCCUUGAACGUAGUCCGACAUCGGUUGGGCUCCUUGCUCCCUCUGAGCUACUUCCUUGAGAAGUUGGCUGUUUGCUAGCCAACUAGAUCUUUCCUGUAAAUUAACAUUUCUCUCCCUUGCCAUCACCCCUGAGGAUGGCAACUAUAACUUCUACGGAUGGUAAUGUGCUAAUUCUAAGGUUACUGGCUGUUAUAAAUUCAUGUACUCCAAGAUCUAUAUCAUUGUUAUUUGUAACCUUUUUCACGGGGUCCUUAUGUUCCCCUCAAACCCAAACGGUAUAAUCUUUUUUUCUUCUGAUGUGAUUAAAAUUGUAAAUAUAAUCAAUUACAUUAACCCUUAGUGUUUACCCAACUAUUAACCAAUCUGAAGGAGGCACUCAGCCAUAAUUUUGUGUAUGACUGCUCCCAUUGUCAAAGCUAUUGUUUGAUCAGCAUCAUUUUCUCAUCCUCAAUUGUACACUCCCAGGUACAAUCAUGUUAGUGGCGACCUUGUCAGGAUCUUGUUGUUGCCCCUUAUUGCAAACUCCUUGCAAGUAACUAUCAGCAAAUAGCAAUUGCUAAGAGCUGUUUGUUUGCAAGAGAAAAUAUGAACCAGAAAGGACAAGCGUAAAGUUAACUUUACAAGCACACGAAGGAACCAGUUUCCACAGUAAGUGUUAUUUUGUGUAGUAAGCAUUUUAUGUCAGCUGUGAUCAAAUUUCGUGACUGCUAGAAAAAUAAAAAUUGGAAUAUCUUUGGCCAAAUGGAUGCCAAAUUAGCCACCGCAAAGAGAGAGUUAUUAACCAAAUAUAUCAGGUUUUGAUAGCUACUGCAUGACAGUUCAUAUGCCAUUCAUACUAGUUGAGCUAGAAAGUUUGUUAAAAGGAAAUAGUGCCCAUGUUUCCUUUGCCAGUUGUAUCUCAGGAAUUUUCAUGCCUCCAAGUAGCCAAAACUUAGCUAGCCACAUGUGAGAAACGACAAGGUUUUGUAUCCAGCCCUUAUCUCCACAUUGCUAGAUUCCUCUCUCUCUCUCUCUCUCUCUCUCUUGCUAGGUAGAAAUUGGGAGAUCACGUACCUUUUAUCAUUUCCUUCGAUAAAGGUUCUAUUCAGUCAAGUGAUUUCGGCCUAUGUAGGCAUGGUAAGAACAACAUUAGGAAUUACGAUUCCCCUUAACAUAGUAAUAAAUUCCGAGAUGCGGUCAUUCAUGAGUGAAAAAACCCCAUCCUUUUGUUUACUCCAAUAAUGCCAAGUAAGCCUCAUCCUUCAUUCAUUCACAGGGAAAAUUCCCCUACCAAGUGGUUGUAAACAAUCAGAGUACUACACGCAGGUGUUCGUGGUAAAUACAGCUGCCUCGCAGACCGCGCAGUUGCCAGCAAUUGAUAUACCCAUAUGGAAACUCCCUCAUCUUUAGGUAGGAAUAGGAAAGGUUACAUGAUAGGCUUUUGUCAAAUCGAAUCCAUCACUCCCUUGUGGGAAAUAUUAAGUAGUUAGAAUCUGUGCAUGUGUGCAUAACACACAAUCCAGUAUUGCAUUUACUUUAGCGAGGAGAAUAUUUAUUAUCCAUUACUGUAUUCCUGAAGCAGAGCACUUCCCGUUUUACCAUUAUCAUUAUAUAUUUACUACACAAAGCUUACAACCUAUUGUGCCGUUAGGUAUUUGUUCAAAGCCCUAAUUCAUUGUAAUCUUGUGUUAUGAGUUGUGCAUAUCAAAUUCCAUUCCAAGGCCUCAAGCCUAUCAAUUCCAAGGCUUCUGUGCCUUCCACUCAAAGGCCUCAUGCCUGCCCAUUCCAAGGUUUCAAUACCUUCCAUUCCAAAGCCUUGUGCCUGCCAUUCAAAGGCUUCCAUUCUAAGGCCUUGUGCCUGUCAAUUCCAAGGCUUCCAUGCCAUUCCAAGGCCUCAUUCCUGCUAAUUCAAAGGAUUCCAUGCCUUCCAUUCCAAGUCCUCAUGCCUGCCAAUGAGCCUGCCAUUCCUAGCCUCAGAGAAUAUAUAUGAAUUUGUGCAUGCAUGCACAUAUAUACAUGCACAUAUUAAACUAUAUGGUGGCUUAGUAUUUGAUUCCAAGGCCCCUGUGUCUGCCAUUCCCAACCCCCGUGUCUUCCACUCCAAGGUUUUCAUGCCUGCCAUUCCCAAGUCCUUGUUAAAUGAAAUAAAAACUACUGAGGCGACAGGGCUGCAAUUUGGUAUGUUUGACGAUUGGAGAGUGGAUGAUCAAACGUACCAAUUUGCAUUUGAAGGCUUUGCCCAACUUUCAUUUUCGGGCUUUCAAGACGACUAUCAGUUCCCUUUUGGGACCAGCAUAUGUCCUUACCUGACCAGAUUAUAAACUCUUAACCACACCAGCAUCCAAGUCAUCCUCAAGGAGCAGUGUCACGUCACCACAACGUAGAACCUCACAGAAAGCUCCAGUUAAAUCCCAAAAGGGGAACUCUCAAACCCAGAAUGCCUCUAAACCUUGGGCAAGGAACAACAGGCCUGUUUUCUCAUUUGGGACAGUGCCAAGGAUGGAUUACAGCAGCAGUUAUUGCACUGCAUUCAAGGUGUAUGGACACACCUCUUCAUGGGCAAAAUGCCCUAAUAAAUCAGCUACUCCAGCCACUGCCAUAGCAGCUACAAGCCUUCAUCAUUAGGCCCUCCAUCUAAGGGUCCUAUCUUUGUGGCACCUCAUCGAGGUGCCUAUCCUGCUCGCCAGGUCAAAGCAAUUGAAGACUAUGGUGCUCAAAUGUCUAUUAUACAGGAACACAGCAACCCCUAUUGAACUAAGGUUAGUCAGCACAAGCUUGUCCAAUUGAGAGCCUCAACCCCCUAAAGAUGCUUCUCCCUACAGUUCAGUCGAGGUUCAAAAGACCUCAUCAAUCUAAAAUAUGUACACUGGUGGUAGCAACUUAGUAUAUUCCUGAAGGUUAUGAUGUCUCCUGAAAAUCCCCUUCUAAGUUUUGACAUUCCAAACCUACCUUUAAAUCACUGCUAGUGCCAUUUGAGGGUCCUGGACAGUGCCAUGCUCCACCCAUCAUGGACUUUAAGCCGAUCUCAGAUCCCCUUCCUUUACCUGCAACUGCCAAGCAAGACUUAAAUCUCCACGAAGCUCAGGCCGCUUCUCACCUCCUGGUUUGGCCCCGUUACUAGUGCUGGUGGGAGGGGACAAACUAGUUCCAUUAAGAACUCCCCAAGAUCCUCAUGACCACAGGAAAGCUCACCCAAAGGUGCAGCCUUGCAACGUGUGCCUGAGUCUGUCGCACCAACUUGUGAGUUGACAAAACUAAUGAUAACCUCUUCCUCUUCUUCCCCUUUUUCAAGCUGACCAGUUCUUGAGUAAGGACUCUGCCAAAUCAAACUUGGCUGUCGAACUGAAGGAACAGAGACGAACUUAAGGAACAGAGACAAUUUAUGUUGUCGCAGCAACCGGAGCAGCUGGCAUUCAAAAAACCUCUAAUAUUGCUUGUACCUGAGUAUUUGUAGUUUUAUCAAAAUAUUGCGAAUAGGUGAAUUUUUCACAAAGAAUGGGUAUACACUGCCCAUAGAAAAAUCCACGAAUAGAGGAGAGUCCAUGAAUCAUGAGUCUGCAAAUAGCAGGGGUCGACUGUAUACCUUUCCCUUUUUGGGUAUUAACAAAUAAUAUAAAUUCAUGUGAAUUUCACUCUUUCAGUUCAGUUAAAACCCACGUCAGUGGUAAUGUGCUACUCGUUUUCAUGUUGAUAAGUGUCACCUGACAUGUGUAACUGUUAGUGCCUAGUCACGGCACAGUGCUGUCAUUUAAGUACCAUGUUAAUAGAAUAUCAUAUCAGUGGUCCAAAGAAGGAGUAAGAUACUCACUUCCCUUGAUUUAUCUUUUUUUGUUAACAUGUAGAGUACGUCUCACUCAGUACUGUGUACUGUGUGGUUAGAGUAAUCAUUUAUUAUUUGGCACUUACCAUUGCAAUGCCCAUAUGGCACGAAAGCUAUCGCUUGUAACAAUCAUGAGAUAACCUAACAAAUCCACGAACAUUUUGUAAUGAUUCUUCAAGGCCAACUAAUAGCAUGACCUUGUAAUGCAGCAUAGAAUUAAAUUUGUAUUGCAUGAUAAGGUUAAGUUAUCGAAAACAACCUUUUAGUCCAAGGCAUAUUCUAGUUACAAAGUAAGCAAACCUGUUUCAUAAUUGAUUAGCUGUACGCUGCUGACAUUUUAAAUUAAUAUUGCAUAAUAUGAUCUUUUCAAAUAUUCUUCAUUGCAUUUUUGCAGUCAUACUAAUUUAUACACUUUAUAAAUUCAUAGCAGCAGUUAAAUUUUAUACUGCCUGCGAGUAGAGUAAGAGACAAUAUUAAUGUCAUGAAAAUUUAAUUUCUGCAGAUACUUUUGUUCAUAUUCCUUGUUGAAUUGUUACUUUGAAGGUUGUGGAACUGAGUUAAUUAUCAUCCUCGAUGGCUACUUUCUCCAUUCCAACCAAUUAAUAUAAAGUAAGGAGGCCCAGAUGAAAGUAAAUACUCUCAUUUUCUCAUUCAUAAUAAAGAUACAAGCGAAUUCGCUACUAUCUCUCUCUCACUCACCACUUCCUUUAAUUUAAUCACAUUGUGUUUCCUUGGCUGCUGGAGCCUUGUUUUGAAGAUUCACCGACUGGGAGAGAAAGUCUGCCUUAGGGCAUGCCGACACUUAAAAGCCCUGGCCACAUGUUUAACCUAAGAAGUCCUUGUAGCAGAGAUGAGGCAGAGGACAGAUAACUCUCUCUACCAGGAUGCUUGUGCAUCAUCCUCAAAGUAAUAAAAGGCCAGAGUACCAGUCAAACGACCUUAGAACCUUUCACGUGCUCCUCGAACGCAGUCCGACCUUGGCAACGUUGGGCUCCAUGCUCCCUAUGAGUUACUCCCUUGAGGAGGUGGCUGUUUGCUAGCCAAUGUGGUCUUUACUGUGCAUAACGUCUCUCUCCUCUGCCAGCACCCCUGAGGAAGACAACUACAACUUCUACAGAAGCUUCGUGACAGCAUACCGAAGAUUUUGAAGUUGGCUUUGCUGCCGCUCGAGUCUUGACUCAACAUAUCGGACUGCACUGGGGUGUUGUCAUUUCGUCUCCUACAGCCAAUAAAUAAUACAUCAAGGCGUUAACAUUCUUUGAAAACGAUGUUUACUUAAACUAAUUUUGUCCUUUGAUCAAUAAAAUAAUUUGCAUGACACAUUUAGUGGGCCUAAAUUGGACUUCUGAUUUUCCCACAUGAUUAGCCUAGGCCUAUUUUCAGCAGCAUACU